Rhineura floridana is the source of this 1432-nucleotide long non-coding RNA. RefSeq lists it as uncharacterized. The record is from RefSeq and is a predicted model, not a curated record. The transcript is spliced from 3 exons. Lineage: Eukaryota; Metazoa; Chordata; Lepidosauria; Squamata; Rhineuridae.
UGCUCUUCCCUCGUGCUCUGUGUUAGGAGGCAUGAGGGAUGAAGUGGAGAACAGACCACAGAAGCAGAAUGAAGUUGAAGAGCUGAGUGGCUGUUUAUCUAUCUUUGAAGUUAUGGAGCCUAUAGAGAAGAAUGGAUAAAACUUCCCAGGAUUACAUAUGAGAUGGGCAUCUAAGAAUUCUGUGAAUAAAGCAAUGAACAAAGAAGUUCCGUGAGCAAGGAUGAAAUCCAUAGCUGAAUUCCCACAACAACCAGCAAUGCAGAUGCAAAAGUCCAAACAGGAAUUGCAGGUGUGGCAAUGUUGCACACACUGUAUUGAAUUGUAGAAAACAGAAAAGAAUGUGGUGGAGGCAUACUGUAUCUUCAUUGCUAAAGAACAUAUAUUCCCACCACAAAUGUGCAGAACGUCACACAAGACUGACCUUUUUCUGCCUCCAAUUGUUCCUUUUCUGUCUCUAAUUGUUCUGUAAAGGAAACAAAAUUCAGAUGAAGCACAAGUUUAAAACGAAAAUGCAUCCCAAUAAAAUCAAGAGUUUGAAACAUUUGACAAAGUGAGAAACCUAGAAUAAAACAGCAGUCCUGAGUCAUGGAAGCCAGCGUAAUUUAAAUCUGCUUAGUUAAGAUGGCAUAAAGAAUGCUAGAUCCAAACCCCAUUCAGGAGCAAAGCUGCUGCUGGCUGAACUGGCCCAAGCUUGGCAGAGGGAAAACAAGUCUGUAAAAUGAAGUUUGACUUACACCACCCUUUUUUUGCUGGUGUAAAUUCAGCUGGGUUGCCAGGUCAUGUGACUGAGCUGAAGGGAGUUAGGAUUCAGCAUAAGUCCCCUCCCCCAUCCUGUCCUUGGAAUAACCAUUUUUCAGGGCUCACACUGGCGUAAGUUACGCUGGACAUGGUUAGCCAGCUUAUGUUGGCAUAGCCAGUUUAUGUUGGCAUAGCCAGCUGAGCCGGAAACCAGCUGGUUGAAACAGAGGUCCUCUAGAUCCUAACUCACUCAUCUGCAUGGAUAUUGGGUUUGGAUUUUACCUUGAGUAACUGCAACAUUGUUCAGCUGAAAACGGAAAGAUUUAACUAGACCUACCUUUUCCUGUUCCAUUAUUUUGAAAAGGAAAAAAGAUUGUUUUUCUGCUGCAGAAUAAAUUCUAAAAUAAAGCCACCAAGAAAUUAUGAAGUUUCCAGUGUGUGUUUCCCCCCCACAAAGAAAAGACAUGUUUUACUACUUCUUUACCAUUUCAUGAAUCUGGCUGCCUUUCUAUCCUUGUUCGGUCCAAACUCCAGUCAUUUACAUUUGAACAAUCCCAUUGUGUGUCUAGUAGGGAUGGAAAGAGCUGUCAUUUUUGGGUCUCUCUGUUUCACAUUUUUCCUAUCUUAAAGUCAGCUCUCCACAUUUCUGCAGCAAUUGGUGAUUUUUUUAAAAAAAAUCCUCAUGAAAAUUCUC